UACAGAGGUCUCAAGCGUUGUUCGGAUUCACUGGGCGUAAAGGGUGCGCAGGCGGCCAAGUGUGUGAGGCGUGAAAGCCUGGGGCUUAACUCCAGAAUUGCACCUCAAACUACAUGGCUAGAGCAUUGGAGAGGGUAGCAGAAUUCACGGUGUAGCAGUGAAAUGCGUAGAUAUCGUGAGGAAUACCAGAGGCGAAGGCGGCUACCUGGACAAUUGCUGACGCUCAGGCACGAAAGCGUGGGGAGCAAAAGGG
RNAcentral lists this ribosomal RNA (253 nucleotides) under uncultured bacterium. RNAcentral describes it as "partial 16S ribosomal RNA". It matches the Rfam family "Bacterial small subunit ribosomal RNA", at positions 524 to 776 of the family's 1533-position model. The record is from RNAcentral.